This 466-nucleotide ribosomal RNA is filed under the name uncultured bacterium. Its description in RNAcentral is "partial 16S ribosomal RNA". It matches the Rfam family "Bacterial small subunit ribosomal RNA", at positions 28 to 507 of the family's 1533-position model. The record is from RNAcentral.
GACGAACGCUGGCGGCGUGCUUAACACAUGCAAGUCGAACGGAAAGGCCCUGCUUGCCGGGUACUCGAGUGGCGAACGGGUGAGUAACACGUGGGUGAUCUGCCCUGCACUUCGGGAUAAGCUUGGGAAACUGGGUCUAAUACCGGAUAGGAGCCAUCUUUAGUGUGGUGGUUGGAAAGUUUUUUCGGUGUAGGAUGAGCUCGCGGCCUAUCAGCUUGUUGGUGGGGUAAUGGCCUACCAAGGCGGCGACGGGUAGCCGGCCUGAGAGGGUGUACGGCCACAUUGGGACUGGGAUACGGCCCAGACUCCUACGGGAGGCAGCAGUGGGGAAUAUUGCACAAUGGGCGCAAGCCUGAUGCAGCGACGCCGCGUGGGGGAUGAAGGCAUUCGGGUUGUAAACUCCUUUCGCUAGGGACGAAGCUUUUUUGUGACGGUACCUAGAUAAGAAGCACCGGCUAACUACGUG